GAUGAACGCUGGCGGCGUGCCUAAUACAUGCAAGUCGAGCGAACGGACGAGAAGCUUGCUUCUCUGAUGUUAGCGGCGGACGGGUGAGUAACACGUGGAUAACCUACCUAUAAGACUGGGAUAACUUCGGGAAACCGGAGCUAAUACCGGAUAAUAUUUUGAACCGCAUGGUUCAAAAGUGAAAGACGGUUUUGCUGUCACAUAUAGAUGGAUCCGCGCUGCAUUAGCUAGUUGGUAAGGUAACGGCUUACCAAGGCAACGAUGCAUAGCCGACCUGAGAGGAUGAUCAGCCACACUGGAACUGAGACACGGUCCAGACUCCUACGGGAGGCAGCAGUAGGGAAUCUUCCGCAAAGGGCGAAAGCCUGACGGAGCAACGCCGCGUGAGUGAUGAAGGUCUUCGGAUCGUAAAACUCUGUUAUUAGGGAAGAACAUCUGUGUAAGUAACUGUGCACAUCUUGACGGUACCUAAUCAGAAAGCAACGGCUAACUACGUG
Molecule: ribosomal RNA, 497 nt
Filed under: uncultured bacterium
Lineage: Bacteria
Description: partial 16S ribosomal RNA
Rfam family: Bacterial small subunit ribosomal RNA
Source: RNAcentral